GUUACACGGCAGCUACAUUAACUGGGCGAUAUAGUUAGUAUAUAUCUAGCUGUUCAAGCAAUAAGAGAACCGCUAAUCAACUCCGUAGCAAUACCCCCAAACUUAUAAUUGUUUGUAGAACAGGACAUAUGCUUGGUCAUGCAAGACCUUGUUCAGACUGACAGGUGUGACGUUAUCAUCGUCGAAGCGAAGCCACUGCCCACUGGCAGACUUUGCAUCGGCAGUGUAAUGGCCCCUGGACGGGUUUGCCCCAAGAUGCGUGAUGGUUGCAACAAGCUCAUAUCUUCUACUCUGCAUGUGCUGAAAUCAACAGAUCACGACUAAGAACCAGCUCAAGAGGGAAGUGAAUUGGCUUGAAGAGUUUCGUGCAGCCAUGACUUCCAUAACUAAACCUCUUCAGGUGCAGUAUCAUUAUCUUUGAAAGUGAGUGUAUCUUCACUGAUUUUCUAGCCGUCACCAACCCAGCCUGCAAGAUCAAACAGCUGUUCUGUAUCCUUCCAAAGAUUCAGGAGCAGCAAACAGACGAAGGGCAUCAUCAAGUUUCUGAACAGCAUCGGGGAAUAUGUCAAGAUGGAUCAGUCGAAAAGGCUGAACGGUGACUGAUGCUUUGUUACCUGCAGAUAAAAGAAUAAUCCAUCACUGGCCUCCAAAAAUAGCAGUUAACUCGGAGGGAACAAAACUCUGACUCCUCAUUAUGGCUGACUUGUUCUUCUUUCCAACAGUCUCCCAAGCAUCAUCAUCAUUUGAUGAAACAAUCAUACCCUCCUUUGAAUUUGAGCCAUUGCCAUUAAGCUUCACUAGUUCAUCAUGCAUUCUAUCCAUCGCAAAACUUAAGAAUUCUUGAGCAUCUUCCUGCCUGCAUAAAAGCUGUUCCAGCUGGCACAUCUGGAGUAAAAUUUCUCAGAACUGUGUCAAACAUGGAGGGAAUAACUGAUUUUGAAGCUAUUGUAGCAAACUUCUCGUCUUUCUUAACAUUUGAAUCAUCGAGCACGUCGAAUUGAGAGAUGAACUCAAUAAAUGCAUUCAGUGUUGGCACCUUAGGUAUAUUCUGGUUCCUCAAGUUCUGUAAAAGCUGGACAAAAGGCCAGCAUGAGAGCAAUGCCUGCAAGGAUGAAUUCAGGAAGCAUAUAUUUCCUGUAUUCUUCAAACCAUGAGGAAGCAAGGGCUUGUUCCGAAAGUCCUUUUUAUUUAAGCUUGUCACAAGCUCAUCCACUGGAGCUGCAGUAGUUGGUGUAUCAAUAGCUGGCCCUCCAUUUUCAGUUAUUUCUGGGACUAAACUGCUGUUUUGAUUGCGUUCGAUCCCAUCAUGGUCCACCUCUGGAACUGAAAGUGGUGCUGGGCUGCUGACAUUUUUAGCAGGAACACUCGUGAGAACUGCAGCUACAGCCUUCUGAUUAUUCUCAAUGACGCCAUUGUUGGGAGACACAUUGGCAUUGGCAGUGGGAGAUCCAUUGAAUAGCACUGGCUUGCCAUUUGGUAAUGUAGGAGCUACUGUUUCCUUUUUGUUGCUGCAUGCAAUAUCCUUUGUAAUGAUGAUUUUGUUCUGGCCGUCACUUAAUUUUGCAGGAUAGACAGCACCUUGAGUAAUAGAAUUUGAUUCUUUCGAUAAAUUUAGAGCUGAGAAAUUCAGUGACCCAAACUGGAUCUCAGAGAGUUCCCGUGUUUU
RNAcentral lists this small RNA (1666 nucleotides) under Oryza sativa Japonica Group (Japanese rice). Its description in RNAcentral is "sRNA Os07g0661201". The record is from RNAcentral. Lineage: Eukaryota; Viridiplantae; Streptophyta; Magnoliopsida; Poales; Poaceae.